RNAcentral lists this ribosomal RNA (749 nucleotides) under uncultured bacterium. RNAcentral's name for it is "bacterial SSU rRNA". It matches the Rfam family "Bacterial small subunit ribosomal RNA", at positions 68 to 813 of the family's 1533-position model. The record is from RNAcentral.
GCGAGCACUUGUGCUCGAGUGGCGAACGGGUGAGUAAUACAUAAGUAACCUGCCCUAGACAGGGGGAUAACUAUUGGAAACGAUAGCUAAGACCGCAUAGGUACGGACACUGCAUGGUGACCGUAUUAAAAGUGCCUCAAAGCACUGGUAGAGGAUGGACUUAUGGCGCAUUAGCUGGUUGGCGGGGUAACGGCCCACCAAGGCGACGAUGCGUAGCCGACCUGAGAGGGUGACCGGCCACACUGGGACUGAGACACGGCCCAGACUCCUACGGGAGGCAGCAGUAGGGAAUUUUCGGCAAUGGGGGAAACCCUGACCGAGCAACGCCGCGUGAAGGAAGAAGGUUUUCGGAUUGUAAACUUCUGUUAUAAAGGAAGAACGGCGGCUACAGGAAAUGGUAGCCGAGUGACGGUACUUUAUUAGAAAGCCACGGCUAACUACGUGCCAGCAGCCGCGGUAAUACGUAGGUGGCAAGCGUUAUCCGGAAUUAUUGGGCGUAAAGAGGGAGCAGGCGGCAGCAAGGGUCUGUGGUGAAAGCCUGAAGCUUAACUUCAGUAAGCCAUAGAAACCAGGCAGCUAGAGUGCAGGAGAGGAUCGUGGAAUUCCAUGUGUAGCGGUGAAAUGCGUAGAUAUAUGGAGGAACACCAGUGGCGAAGGCGACGAUCUGGCCUGCAACUGACGCUCAGUCCCGAAAGCGUGGGGAGCAAAUAGGAUUAGAUACCCUAGUAGUCCACGCCGUAAACGAUGAG